RNAcentral lists this ribosomal RNA (795 nucleotides) under uncultured bacterium. Its description in RNAcentral is "bacterial SSU rRNA". It matches the Rfam family "Bacterial small subunit ribosomal RNA", at positions 8 to 796 of the family's 1533-position model. The record is from RNAcentral.
AGAGUUUGAUCAUGGCUCAGAUUGAACGCUGGCGGCAUGCCUUACACAUGCAAGUCGAACGGCAGUACGGACUUCGGUCUGGUGGCGAGUGGCGAACGGGUGAGUAAUACAUCGGAACGUGUCCUGGAGUGGGGGAUAGCCCGGCGAAAGCCGGAUUAAUACCGCGUACGCUCUGUGGAGGAAAGCGGGGGAUCUUUCGGGACCUCGCGCUCAAGGGGCGGCCGAUGGCAGAUUAGGUAGUUGGUGGGGUAAAGGCCUACCAAGCCGACGAUCUGUAGCUGGUCUGAGAGGACGACCAGCCACACUGGGACUGAGACACGGCCCAGACUCCUACGGGAGGCAGCAGUGGGGAAUUUUGGACAAUGGGCGCAAGCCUGAUCCAGCAAUGCCGCGUGUGUGAAGAAGGCCUUCGGGUUGUAAAGCACUUUUGUCCGGAAAGAAAACCUCUGGGUUAAUACCCCGGGGGGAUGACGGUACCGGAAGAAUAAGCACCGGCUAACUACGUGCCAGCAGCCGCGGUAAUACGUAGGGUGCGAGCGUUAAUCGGAAUUACUGGGCGUAAAGCGUGCGCAGGCGGUGCUGUAAGACCGAUGUGAAAUCCCCGGGCUUAACCUGGGAACUGCAUUGGUGACUGCAGCGCUGGAGUAUGGCAGAGGGGGGUGGAAUUCCACGUGUAGCAGUGAAAUGCGUAGAGAUGUGGAGGAACACCGAUGGCGAAGGCAGCCCCCUGGGCCAAUACUGACGCUCAUGCACGAAAGCGUGGGGAGCAAACAGGAUUAGAUACCCCCGUAGUCC